UACGAAGGGGGCUAGCGUUGUUCGGAAUUAAUGGGCGUAAAGCGCGCGUAGGCGGAUAUUUAAGUCAGGGGUGAAAUCCCGGGGCUCAACCCUGGAACUGCCUUUGAUACUGGAUAUCUGGAGUUCGGGAGAGGUGAGUGGAAUUCCGAGUGUAGAGGUGAAAUUCGUAGAUAUUCGGAGGAACACCAGAAGCGAAGGCGGCUCACUGGCCCGAUACUGACGCUGAGGCGCGAAAGCGUGGGGAGCAAACAGG
RNAcentral lists this ribosomal RNA (253 nucleotides) under uncultured bacterium. RNAcentral's name for it is "partial 16S ribosomal RNA". It matches the Rfam family "Bacterial small subunit ribosomal RNA", at positions 524 to 776 of the family's 1533-position model. The record is from RNAcentral.